CUGUGAAGAUUAUAAACAUACGAACUUUACUUCGUGUUUGGGUGGUGUUUUCGAUGUGUCACAAAAUAGUUUUUUAAUUUUUCUUGAUGGGGCAGUCUAAUAGCACCGACAGCGUUAUUCCACAGACGGUGGAAAACCUUCAUGACGACAUUUGCCGACAAGCAAGAUUACUUUCUGAAAUUGCUGCGCUUUCAUACGAUGAUCUGCAAGAGUGCAUUAAGCAACUGAAUCAGCUAUGCAGUCACUGUGCUGAUAGAAAUGGCAAACAGUUAUUCUUUCUUGUAAAGAAAGGGACUGACUCAACAUUAUUAUGGAAGGGAACUGUUAAAAUAUUGUGUGUAAAAUUUGACCCUUCUACAAAACAAAUCGAAGGGCAUAGGCUCUUCAGCCUCGGUGACUUUUUGAAAGUUUGCCGGUCUCUACAGAGUCAACUGCUAGUAGCAGAGCAAAGCAGUGAUUGUGCAACCAACCAGCCAGUGACUGGAAUGGAAGUUAACAACAGCCAGCAUAAUGGCAGUACCUCUAAUACCUUUGAAAGCCCAGCAUUAAUGUCAGAGUCACAUAGUUUGCCUACUCAGAGGUUAAUUAACACAUCCAUGAUACUGGAGGAGAGAGCCACACUUACAAGUGGUGCUAAUGAUUGCUGCAUUUGUUUGGAGAGAAAACCAGAUAUAGUUUUGCCAUGCACUCACAGCUACUGUGUUGUUUGUAUAGAACAGUGGAAUGUAAAUCACAAGACAUGUCCCAUAUGUCGUGAAGCAUGUGAAAGUACUGAUGACAGCUGGGUUAUUUCUGAAGUACCAGGAGCCCAUGAAAUAAAUGAAGCAAUAUGUUCAGCUCUCAUGGGAUUGCCCUCAACAUCAGGCACUCCAAAGUGAUGCCUCUGACUGUCCAGCACUAUCAUGUCAUAGUUAUGAAAUAAAAUGCAGACAGAAUACACCUGCACAUCUGUUACACGUUUUAUGUGUAAGGAUGAUAAAUAUGGUUUCAUGACCAUGGAUGGUAUGGCCAGCUAGUAGAAAUGGAAUAAUUUUUACAGAUCCAAAUGGAGGACUGUUUUAACCCCGGAUAAAUUUGUUUUGAGACAUAAUGUAAACUGCCUCUGUCUGCUUUAGCCAGCAGAUGCACAUUGUAUAAUGCAAAAUUGUCUGUAGAUGACGAUCAAGAUUCCAGACAAAAUAAUUAAAAAAAAAAAAAACACAGGAAUUCUACAAGUAUUGAAUAUGAUAAAAUAAGUAAAAGCAGCAAGCUAAUGUACUCUUUAACCUUGUCUAUGUUUAAAGCGUAUAUUUAAGAGACUAUGGGGAUUGAAUAAGAAACAGAAUGAACAUGAAUUUGCACCAGAUAAGAGUGUAGAAUACUUUUCAAGUAAUAGUUUAGAUUGUUUCAAGGUUACUGACAAUAAUGAAGAAGUGAAUAUGUAGCUGCUAAAUGUGAAUCUUUCUUCAGGAAUAAUUCUUGCCAUAUGAAGCAAUUCUGUGCUGAUGUACAUCAUAUGUUAUUACAUCCCCAUCUCCUGAAGUAUGGGUCCCAAUUUCAGAUUUUUUAUGGUAUUUGUGUGCAUAUUGUGAAAUUGAACAUACAUGUGUUGUCUCACCAGCUAUGUCACAUUGUGUGACCAUUCUGUUCCUGCAUGAUAUAUAGCAUACCAUUAAAAGUACAACUUGUACAUCUUGCAGCACAUAGCAAAUGUUAACCCAUUUGCGCCAAAUCUUCAUUCAAUAGCAAUAAAUUAAGACAUGUAAUUUGGCACAUUACUGAACUACAGAUAGUAAAUCCUGAAUGAGAUGCUGUCAGCCGGCCGGAGUGGCCGAGCGGUUAAAGGCGCUACAGUCUGGAACCGCACGACCGCUACGGUCGCAGGUUCGAAUCCUGCCUCGGGCAUGGAUGUGUGUGAUGUCCUUAGGUUAGUUAGGUUUAAGUAGUUCUAAGUUCUAGGGGACUGAUGACCACAGCAGUUAAGUCCCAUAGUGCUCAGAGCCAUUUUGAGAUGCUGUCAUGUUUGGUCAAGGUGCCUUUUCUGUAAUGUCCUCCAAUGUAUUACUGUGAUUAAUUCUUGAUACUUUAAUUAACUGUGUAUGUGUUUCUUUUUACACAAAGCAAAUUAUGUAAAUAAUAAAGUAAAUGGGAUA
Schistocerca nitens (vagrant locust) is the source of this 2132-nucleotide RNA transcript. It is a transcript of the gene named RING finger protein 141-like, with no coding region annotated. The transcript has 5 exons. The record is from RefSeq and is a predicted model, not a curated record. NCBI's taxonomy places the organism in Eukaryota, Metazoa, Arthropoda, Insecta, Orthoptera, Acrididae.